RNAcentral lists this ribosomal RNA (813 nucleotides) under uncultured Clostridia bacterium. RNAcentral's name for it is "bacterial SSU rRNA". It matches the Rfam family "Bacterial small subunit ribosomal RNA", at positions 65 to 894 of the family's 1533-position model. Lineage: Bacteria; Bacillati; Bacillota; Clostridia. The record is from RNAcentral.
AACUUAAAUGAUUUCUUCGGAAUGAACUUAAGUGGAUUAGUGGCGAACGGGUGAGUAACACGUGAGUAACCUGCCUUACACAAGGGGAUAGCCUCUGGAAACGGAGAAUAAUACCCUAUAAAGUCUAAUCAGCCCAUGCUGGAAAGACCAAAGAUUUAUCGGUGUAAGAUGGACUUGCGUCUGAUUAGCUAGUUGGUGAGAUAAAAGCUCACCAAGGCGACGAUCAGUAGCCGGCUUGAGAGAGUGUACGGCCACAUUGGGACUGAGACACGGCCCAAACUCCUACGGGAGGCAGCAGUGGGGAAUUUUGCACAAUGGGGGAAACCCUGAUGCAGCGACGCCGCGUGAUUUAGAAGGCCUUCGGGUUGUAAAAAUCUUUUUUACGGGAUGAAAAUGACAGUACCGUAAGAAUAAGGUCCGGCUAAAUACGUGCCAGCAGCCGCGGUAAUACGUAUGGACCGAGCGUUGUCCGGAAUCAUUGGGCGUAAAGGGUACGUAGGCGGCCUAGUAAGUUAGAAGUUAAAGAAUAUAGCUCAACUAUAUAAAGCUUUUAAAACUGCUAGGCUUGAGAGAUGGAAGGGAAAGUGGAAUUCCUAGUGUAGCGGUGAAAUGCGCAGAUAUUAGGAAGAAUACCGGUGGCGAAGGCGACUUUCUGGUCAUCAUCUGACGCUGAGGUACGAAAGCGUGGGUAGCAAACAGGAUUAGAUACCCUGGUAGUCCACGCUGUAAACGAUGAGUGUUAGGUUCUUGGAAUAAUCUGGGAGCCGCAGCUAACGCAUUAAACACUCCGCCUGGGGAGUACGCACGCAAGUG